Molecule: ribosomal RNA, 514 nt
Filed under: Pluralibacter gergoviae
Lineage: Bacteria; Pseudomonadati; Pseudomonadota; Gammaproteobacteria; Enterobacterales; Enterobacteriaceae
Description: partial 23S ribosomal RNA
Rfam family: Bacterial large subunit ribosomal RNA
Source: RNAcentral
CGAGUCUUAACUGGGCGUUAAGUUGCAGGGUAUAGACCCGAAACCCGGUGAUCUAGCCAUGGGCAGGUUGAAGGUUGGGUAACACUAACUGGAGGACCGAACCGACUAAUGUUGAAAAAUUAGCGGAUGACCUGUGGCUGGGGGUGAAAGGCCAAUCAAACCGGGAGAUAGCUGGUUCUCCCCGAAAGCUAUUUAGGUAGCGCCUCGUGAACUCAUCUUCGGGGGUAGAGCACUGUUUCGGCUAGGGGGUCAUCCCGACUUACCAACCCGAUGCAAACUGCGAAUACCGAAGAAUGUUAUCACGGGAGACACACGGCGGGUGCUAACGUCCGUCGUGAAGAGGGAAACAACCCAGACCGCCAGCUAAGGUCCCAAAGUCAUGGUUAAGUGGGAAACGAUGUGGGAAGGCCCAGACAGCCAGGAUGUUGGCUUAGAAGCAGCCAUCAUUUAAAGAAAGCGUAAUAGCUCACUGGUCGAGUCGGCCUGCGCGGAAGAUGUAACGGGGCUAAACCAU